Coffea arabica (coffee) is the source of this 210-nucleotide non-coding RNA. The record is from RefSeq and is a predicted model, not a curated record. Lineage: Eukaryota; Viridiplantae; Streptophyta; Magnoliopsida; Gentianales; Rubiaceae.
AGGAUCGGAAAGUUUGUUGGCAUGAGACUCCUUUUGAGGAGAGACUAGAAAAAGCCUUGUUUGAGGAGACUUUCAUCCGGCAGAGGCGUCAAACCAGCAGGGCGAUAAAUUUUGGAAGCAGCUGAAUUGAGAUUGUAGGCAUUAAACCAGGAGGGUGGUACAAGCAGAUUUUUAUCGCUACCUUCAAGCAUUUCAAGACUGUAGUUUGAG